UACAGAGGGUGCAAACGUUGUUCGGAAUUACUGGGCGUAAAGCGCGUGUAGGCGGCAGGGCAAGUCGGAUGUGAAAUCCCGUGGCUCAACCACGGAAGUGCACCCGAAACUGCCCAGCUAGAGUCUCGGAGAGGAAGGUGGAAUGCUUGGUGUAGAGGUGAAAUUCGUAGAUAUCAAGCGGAACACCGGUGGCGAAGGCGGCCUUCUGGACGAUGACUGACGCUGAGACGCGAAAGCGUGGGGAGCAAACAGG
RNAcentral lists this ribosomal RNA (253 nucleotides) under uncultured bacterium. Its description in RNAcentral is "partial 16S ribosomal RNA". It matches the Rfam family "Bacterial small subunit ribosomal RNA", at positions 524 to 776 of the family's 1533-position model. The record is from RNAcentral.